Molecule: ribosomal RNA, 460 nt
Filed under: uncultured bacterium
Lineage: Bacteria
Description: partial 16S ribosomal RNA
Rfam family: Bacterial small subunit ribosomal RNA
Source: RNAcentral
CCUACGGGAGGCAGCAGUGAGGAAUAUUGGUCAAUGGGCGAGAGCCUGAACCAGCCAAGUCGCGUGAAGGAUGACGGCCCUACGGGUUGUAAACUUCUUUUGUCAGGGAGCAAUUGGGUCCACGCGUGGGCUUAGCGAGAGUACCUGCAGAAAAAGCAUCGGCUAACUCCGUGCCAGCAGCCGCGGUAAUACGGAGGAUGCGAGCGUUAUCCGGAUUUAUUGGGUUUAAAGGGUGCGUAGGCGGAAUAUCAAGUCAGCGGUAAAAAUUCGGGGCUCAACCCCGUCGUGCCGUUGAAACUGAUGGUCUUGAGUGGGCGAGAAGUAGGCGGAAUGCGUGGUGUAGCGGUGAAAUGCAUAGAUAUCACGCAGAACUCCGAUUGCGAAGGCAGCAUACCGGCGCCCAACUGACGCUGAAGCACGAAAGCGUGGGUAUCGAACAGGAUUAGAUACCCCUGUAGUC